RNAcentral lists this ribosomal RNA (518 nucleotides) under uncultured bacterium. RNAcentral's name for it is "bacterial SSU rRNA". It matches the Rfam family "Bacterial small subunit ribosomal RNA", at positions 32 to 518 of the family's 1533-position model. The record is from RNAcentral.
AGGACGACGCUGGCGGCGUGCCUAAUACAUGCAAGUCGAACGGUCUUUCUAUGGAAGCUUGCUCCACUGAGAAGAUAGUGGCGAACGGGUGAGUAACACGUGGGUAACCUGCCCAUAAGAGGGGGAUAACAUCCGGAAACGGGUGCUAAUACCGCAUAGUUUUCUUGAUCGCAUGAUCGGGAAAGGAAAGACGGCCUUUGUGCUGUCGCUUAUGGAUGGACCCGCGGCGUAUUAGUUAGUUGGUGAGGUAACGGCUCACCAAGACGAUGAUACGUAGCCGACCUGAGAGGGUGAUCGGCCACAUUGGGACUGAGACACGGCCCAAACUCCUACGGGAGGCAGCAGUAGGGAAUCUUCCGCAAUGGACGAAAGUCUGACGGAGCAACGCCGCGUGAGUGAAGAAAAGGUUUUCGGAUCGUAAAACUCUGUUGUCAGAGAAGAACAAGUUGGAGAGUAACUGCUCCAGCCUUGACGGUAUCUGACCAGAAAGCCACGGCUAACUACGUGCCAGCCGCCGC